Molecule: ribosomal RNA, 254 nt
Filed under: uncultured bacterium
Lineage: Bacteria
Description: partial 16S ribosomal RNA
Rfam family: Bacterial small subunit ribosomal RNA
Source: RNAcentral
UACGGGGGGAGCAAGCGUUGUUCGGAUUUACUGGGCGUAAAGGGCGGGUAGGCGGCCACCGCAAGUCGACUGUGAAAUCUCCGGGCUUAACUCGGAAAGGUCAACUGAUACUGUGCGACUAGAGUGCGGAAGGGGCAACUGGAAUUCUCGGUGUAGCGGUGAAAUGCGUAGAUAUCGAGAGGAACACCUGCGGCGAAGGCGGGUUGCUGGGCCGACACUGACGCUGAUGCGCGAAAGCCAGGGGAGCGAACGGG